This 73-nucleotide transfer RNA is filed under the name Chloroparvula pacifica. Its description in RNAcentral is "tRNA-Trp". It matches the Rfam family "tRNA". Rfam says of the family: Transfer RNA (tRNA) molecules are approximately 80 nucleotides in length. Their secondary structure includes four short double-helical elements and three loops (D, anti-codon, and T loops). Lineage: Eukaryota; Viridiplantae; Chlorophyta; Chloropicophyceae; Chloropicales; Chloropicaceae. The record is from RNAcentral.
GGGAGAAUAGUUCUAAUGGUAGAACAGCGGCCUCCAAAGCUGAAGGUUAGGGGUUCGAAUCCCUUUUCUCCUG